UCUCUCUCCCACUCUCUCUCUCUCUGUCUCUGUGUCUCUCGGUGGCUCUGGGAUCCGUAGGCGUUCGGAGGACAGGAACAGGACAGGACACACACCCUCUGCACCAAGCAUCACAGACAUGUCGGACUCCGAGACUGCCGCUGCCCCCGCUGAGGCCCCCGUCCCUGCUGCUUGUGCCAGCAUCAAGGCUGACCUGGACAAAUGUGUGGCCGAGAAGGGAGCUGAGGGCUGCAAAGAUCUGAUGGAGGCCUUUGCUGCUUGUGUGAAGAGUGCAGCUGAGGGGACGUCAUGAGGAGUCGCCCUCCAACCUCAAAUGUCCACUGCACUGAGUCCUCCGAGUUCCCAGCAUUCCCUUCUGCACAACAGCACUGGACUGAAUGAUGACAACAAUGAUGAUGAUGACGACGAUGAUCAUGGCGUGUUGAUUCGGGCUGAAUUUGGGAUCUGGUGGCAGUAACCACAGUUUCCUCUCCCCCACCCCCCUCUGUUUUAGGCUUAUGUGGUGUCCCUCAGCUUUACCACCAUUCCCCUUCUCCCUCUACAGCUGACAUACAGCGCAUCGACUUGUAGACAAUUCCAGAGAGCUGAUGGGCUGUGAUGUAAAUUGUCGAAUACUUAUAAAUGGAAAUAAAAGUAUCAAAUAAUUGGUA
Long non-coding RNA from Morone saxatilis (striped sea-bass), 650 nucleotides. RefSeq lists it as uncharacterized. The transcript has 3 exons. The record is from RefSeq and is a predicted model, not a curated record. Lineage: Eukaryota; Metazoa; Chordata; Actinopteri; Moronidae.